GACGAACGCUGGCGGCGUGCCUAAUACAUGCGAGUCGAACGAGAGCGACCGGUGCUUGCACUGGUCAAUCUAGUGGCGAACGGGUGAGUAACACGUGGGUAACCUGCCCAUCAGAGGGGGAUAACAUUCGGAAACGGAUGCUAAAACCGCAUAGGUCUUCGAACCGCAUGGUUUGAAGAGGAAAAGAGGCGCAAGCUUCUGCUGAUGGAUGGACCCGCGGUGCAUUAGCUAGUUGGUGAGGUAACGGCUCACCAAGGCCGUGAUGCAUAGCCGACCUGAGAGGGUGAUCGGCCACAUUGGGACUGAGACACGGCCCAAACUCCUACGGGAGGCAGCAGUAGGGAAUCUUCCGCAAUGGACGCAAGUCUGACGGAGCAACGCCGCGUGAGUGAAGAAGGUUUUCGGAUCGUAAAACUCUGUUGUUAGAGAAGAAGAAGUGCUAGAGUAACUGUUAGCGCCUUGACGGUAUCUAACCAGAAAGCCACGGCUAACUACGUG
Molecule: ribosomal RNA, 498 nt
Filed under: uncultured bacterium
Lineage: Bacteria
Description: partial 16S ribosomal RNA
Rfam family: Bacterial small subunit ribosomal RNA
Source: RNAcentral